AAAAGCUGACACAUGGAGAUAGCGGGACCCGGGCGUUGGUUGACCCGGGCGAAAGGGACCGAAAUCAAGUAGGGAAGUCCGCGAUGCUCUGUGGCGAGAAAAGGCGAAGAUAAGGUGCCCGUACCGCAAACCGACACAGGUAGAUGAGGAGAGAAUCCUAAGGCCAACGGGAGAAAGGUUGUUAAGGAACUCGGCAAAAUUGCCCCGUAACUUCGGGAGAAGGGGCGCCUCCGAAAGGAGGCCGCAGUGAAAAGGCCCAAGCGACUGUUUACCAAAAACACAGGUCUCUGCUAAAUCGAAAGAUGACGUAUAGGGGCUGACGCCUGCCCGGUGCUGGAAGGUUAAGAGGAGAGCUUAGCGCAAGCGAAGGCUUGAAUUUAAGCCCCAGUAAACGGCGGCCGUAACAAUAACGGUCCUAAGGUAGCGAAAUUCCUUGUCAGGUAAGUUCUGACCCGCACGAAUGGCGUAACGAUUUGGGCGCUGUCUCAACAGCCUACCCGGCGAAAUUGUAGUACCGGUGAAGAUGCCGGUUACCCGCAACUAGACGGAAAGACCCCAUGGAGCUUUACUGCAGCUUAAUACUGAGAUUCGGUAAUUCAUGUACAGGAUAGGUGGGAGACUUGGAAACAGGGGCGUCAGCUUCUGCGGAGUCACCCUUGGGAUACCACCCUUGGAUUGCUGGGUUUCUAACCUGCGGCCAUGAAUCUGGUCGGGGGACACUGUUAGGCGGGCAGUUCGACUGGGGCGGUCGCCUCCUAAAAAGUAGCGGAGGCGCUCAAAGCUUGGCUCAGCAUGGAUGGAAAUCAUGCAAUGAGUGUAAACGUAUAAGCCAAGUUGACUGCGAGACCGACGGGUCGAGCAGGGACGAAAGUCGGAGUUAGUGAUCCGGUGGUAUGUGAGUGGAAAUGCCAUCGCUCAACGGAUAAAAGCUACCCUGGGAUAACAGGCUAAUCUCCCCCAAGCGUCCACAGCGACGGGGAGGUUUGGCACCUCGAUGUCGGCUCGUCGCAUCCUGGGGCUGUAUUCGGUCCCAAGGGUUUGGCUGUUCGCCAAUUAAAGCGGCACGCGAGCUGGGUUCAGAACGUCGUGUGACAGUUCGGUCCCUAUCUGUUGCGGGCGUAAGAGAUUUGAAGGGAGCUGUCCUUAGUACGAGAGGACCGGGAUGGACUGACCCCUGGUGCACCAGUUGUUCUGCCAAGGGCAUAGCUGGGUAGCUACGUCGGGACGAGAUAAACGCUGAAGGCAUCUAAGCGUGAAACUCCCCCUAAGAUAAGAUCUCUCAUCCUGAAAAGGAGUAAGGCUCGUCGUAGACUAUGACGUUGAUAGGUCAGGGGUGGAAGCACAGUAAUGUGUGCAGCUGACUGAUACUAAUAAGCCGAGGGCUUGACU
This 1389-nucleotide ribosomal RNA is filed under the name metagenome. RNAcentral describes it as "bacterial LSU rRNA". It matches the Rfam family "Bacterial large subunit ribosomal RNA", at positions 1464 to 2925 of the family's 2925-position model. The record is from RNAcentral.